UUAGAUGUCCGGGGCCGCACGCGCGCUACACUGAAGGAAUCAGCGUGUGCUCUCCCCGUCCGUCAGGACCGGGUAACCCGUUGAACCUCCUUCGUGCUAGGGACAGGAGCCUGAAAUUCUUCUCCUCGAACGAGGAAUUCCCAGUAAGCGCGAGUCAUAAGCUCGCGUUGAUUACGUCCCUGCCCAUUGUACACACCGCCCGUCGCUACUACCGAUUGAAUGAUUUAGCGAGGUCUUCGGAUCGGUGCUCGGAACGACCUUCCGGUCGGGCCGGCGUGCCGAAAAGAUGACCGAACUUGAUCAUUUAGAGGAAGUAAAAGUCGUAACAAGGUUUCC
Molecule: ribosomal RNA, 336 nt
Filed under: Mesabolivar sp. Br14-30
Lineage: Eukaryota; Metazoa; Arthropoda; Arachnida; Araneae; Pholcidae
Description: bacterial SSU rRNA
Rfam family: Eukaryotic small subunit ribosomal RNA
Source: RNAcentral